Olea europaea var. sylvestris is the source of this 2216-nucleotide RNA transcript. RefSeq lists it as uncharacterized. The transcript is spliced from 2 exons. NCBI's taxonomy places the organism in Eukaryota, Viridiplantae, Streptophyta, Magnoliopsida, Lamiales, Oleaceae. The record is from RefSeq and is a predicted model, not a curated record.
GGGAAAAAGAGAAAAAGAUUGAACUGUUCUUGUCCUCAUGGUACUGCGAGCAAAACAGCUUCCUCCAAACAUAAAACCUAACGGCGGCUUAAAUUAGGAAACCUACACCGACAAACAUUCAUAAAAAUCUUAAUUCUUCAACCCCAAUUAUAAAUAGAGUAAUGCUAUUUGGUAUAAAUAGAAUAUUAUUCUUAUAAAUAUAGCCAUAAUUCUACAAUCAGCUCAAAUUUCUCGGAUCCCUAUACUUCCCUGCUCGGCAAAUCUCUCUGCAAAGAUAUCCUUUCUUUCUAGUUUGAGUUUGUGCCGUUACAUGGAUUCAACGGAUUGUAAUUACUCAAGUUAUGUGGCUCGCAGUGUAAAUCUUUUAUGCUGGAUUAUGCCGGGAAGGAAGCACAGAUAUAUUAUAUAUUGAUCGAUGUUAAUCUUUUAUUAAAUAUUCUAACAUACUUUUCAAUCAUUUUACACGAAAGUAUUUCAUAAUUAAUUAAUUGAUAAUUCUAACUAAUCCAAUAAAACAGUAUUUCUGAAUUAUUGUAAAGAAAAUUCACUUUUGCUUUAAUAUAGCUCAAAGAAUGAAGGAAAAAAAAUAAGGCGGAAAUAUGAAUGCUCGUUGCUGCACUGACACACUUAAUUUUCUUCGUAAGUAAAUAUUUUUGUUGUGGGACUGAUUAAAAAAGUCAUCUUUUUUCCUAUUUCACUUAUUUCAUUAUUUUCAUCUUGAAUUUACGGGCUGCAGUUGAUAGCUGAACAUGGCAGAUUGGACGGAUCUUCCAAUGGACAUUUUGGUUGUUAUCGCACAAUGUUUAACUGUAAUAGAGGACUUUACUUCCUUUAUUGCUGUUUGUAAAUCAUGGCAAUCAGUGACUUCAAUAUUGAAGAAGAAACCUUCAUUGCCUACUAGAUAUCCCGGUAUAAUGCUUGCUGAAAAAAAUAGAUACGGAAGAUCAAGAGAAUCGAGAUGAUCAAGAUGCAUCUAUUCGUUGUUUUCUAAACUUAUUAACCUCUAAGACAUACUUACUCCAGUUGCCAGAAGUGAAGGGCAGGAAGUGCACAGGAGCACAUUACGGAUGGUUGUGGACAAUUGGCAUUGAUUUGCAAAUCAAUUUAUUGCAUCCCUUCUCCAGACAACAAAUUUGCCUACCUCCUAUGCUGACCUUCCCUGAUCAGUAUGAAUAUAAUGAGAAAUUCAAGCCACAAGAGGUUUGGGAUGGCUUUGUUUCGAAAAUAGUGAUGUCCUCAAAUCCUCUUAAGGAGAAAAGUUACAUGAUUAUAAUGAGGAUAGUACUAUGGUUGCUAUUUAUGGAGAAUUUGCUAUAUUGGCUUUUACAAAAUUAGGAGAUACUGUUUAGACUAAUAUCUCCUUCCAAUCUUGUGUUUAUCUAGAUAUUAUUUUCUACAAUGGCAAAUUUUAUGCCGUAGAUGUUCAUGGAGUCGUAGUUGUUUGUAACUUUGAUGAUGUCAAUGGCCCAUAAGCAACAGUUAUCGCCCUUGCUCCAACUAAAACGAAUGAUACAUAUCAGAAGUAUCUAGUCGAAUCAUCAGGACAUCUUCUACUUGAUGGAAGUUUCCGAAAGGGUAUUUCAAUUGAUUUCGAUGAUGAUGUUGACAAUGAGGAAGAGGGUGAUGAUGAUGAUGUAGAAGAAGAUGAUGUUGACAACGAGGAGAAGGGUGAUGAUAUUGAGGAGGACAUGGGUGAUGUUGAUGGUAAUGAUAAUGUUGAUGAGGUGGAGGAUGUCAAAGACAGUGUCAACGAAGAGGAGGAAGCUGGAUACUAUACAACUGGCUUUUUGGUUUGGAGGCUGGAUGAAUGUCAUGAGGAGGGGAGGAAUUAUGCACAUAGAUUAACUCAAUUGACUAGUUUACGAGAUCAAGCAUUGUUCUUAGGUAGUAAUGUAUCUACAUCAAUUGCCUCGUCAGAAUCUAUCAAGCCAAAUUGCAUAUACUUUACAGAUGAUAACGUUGAGCUCUAUUUCGAUGAACCAGGCGGAGGUGGCCACGACACGGGAAUAUUUAACAUAGAAGACAGAACCACUCAAUUAAAGUAUGCAGGAGAAUCUCGUAGUAAUCUUUCACCUCCAUUGUGGUACAUUUGAUUUCCAAGGACAUAUUUCAUUUUCUGCUUGUCAUUUAAAUUAUUCCUUUCAAAAUUGAGUGGAAUGAAGUAUGUACUAGUUCUGUUCAAUUGUUGUUCAUUUAAUUCUACAACAUAUUGGCUC